Molecule: non-coding RNA, 58 nt
Filed under: Helianthus annuus (common sunflower)
Lineage: Eukaryota; Viridiplantae; Streptophyta; Magnoliopsida; Asterales; Asteraceae
Source: RNAcentral
CACUGGUCGAAAGUUGUUGUCGCUCUCCUGAUGAACCCAAGGCAGGACGAAACUAGUG